Molecule: signal recognition particle RNA, 100 nt
Filed under: Phycisphaerae bacterium
Lineage: Bacteria; Pseudomonadati; Planctomycetota; Phycisphaerae
Description: signal recognition particle sRNA small type
Rfam family: Bacterial small signal recognition particle RNA
About the family: The signal recognition particle (SRP) is a universally conserved ribonucleoprotein involved in the co-translational targeting of proteins to membranes.
Source: RNAcentral
GCCCAGGUCCUAUGCAACGUUUGGCUCGGACAAUGGGUCAGGUCUUGACGGAAGCAGCCCACCUGGGUUCAGGCGGGUGCCAUAGAUCAGCCUGGGCCAU